RNAcentral lists this long non-coding RNA (708 nucleotides) under Capra hircus (goat). RNAcentral describes it as "lncRNA (ENSCHIG00010013915.1)". The record is from RNAcentral. Lineage: Eukaryota; Metazoa; Chordata; Mammalia; Artiodactyla; Bovidae.
UCGUCACUGUGGGUAUGCAAACAGCUUCAGAACAUUGGCCUGGGAUACUGUGGAAAGAUUUCAUCCAUCAGGUAAAAGGCUGGAGUCGACACAGUGAAAGUGGCUCCUGACUGAGGGAUUUGGUGAGCGUUGGCUGGGUAAGCACAUGUGUGGGAAGGACGCCUGUAUGUGUGGGAAAAUGGUUGGCAUCCAUCGCCUCAACCUUGGCUACAGGAGGUGCCCGAGAUGCCUGGGAAGUAGGGGUUGAGGCCCAGGUGAGGCAUGUCAGCAGCCUAGGACCCCGCCCCACCUUGGAAGGCCCUGGAGCCCAGGACUGUGCUGCCUGCCAGGGCAUUUCCUGGAACUUGGCAGAGGAUGGAGCCCCUCCCUGCCUGCCCUGGCACACUCCAGGUACACUGUGUCCCGGGAUGUGGGGUAGCGGGGGAUGAGUCCUGGCCUGGGCAGACAUCUGAGCUCCCGCCCUGCGGCUGUCAUCCUCACAAUGGCCCCACCAGACCACAGGGGACAGCAGGCCCAGAGGAGGAAGGAGAAGCCUUGUGGCUGGGUGGCAGGAUUCGUGGGUCUUUGUUGUGGCUUUGGGUGGGAGCGUGGGUAAGGCAGAAAAGCGGGGUCUCAGGCUUCAAAGCACCUCCCCACCUGCUUCUUCCCUGCAGGGUAAUCUUCAGGGGCCUAGUGGUUUUGAGGGGAGGGGACAGGAAGAGACUCUGA